CCCUGCGGCCUCUGAGCGUGCGGGUUCGUCUUUCCGAGCUCCGAAAACGUGCAGAAGGUUCAGCUGUGGACUUGGGCAGCUACAAACUCUGAUAAUAUGAAAAGCAGUGGCAGGCAGUCUGCGUGUAGAGUUUUCAGAUGCCUUCACCUGAAUGAGAAACCUGGCAACACCAAGAUAAGUAAAUGAAUGUAGUCCUUUUGUCAUGUAGAUUUUAAUUAAAUUAUUUCAGCUCAGAGAAGUAGAAAAGGUACAGUUUUUAAAAAUCAUGGA
Molecule: long non-coding RNA, 270 nt
Organism: Tupaia belangeri chinensis (Chinese tree shrew)
Lineage: Eukaryota; Metazoa; Chordata; Mammalia; Scandentia; Tupaiidae
Exons: 4
Source: RefSeq, a predicted model, not a curated record